GAUGAACGCUGGCGGCGUGCCUAAUACAUGCAAGUCGAGCGAACAGACGAGGAGCUUGCUCCUCUGACGUUAGCGGCGGACGGGUGAGUAACACGUGGAUAACCUACCUAUAAGACUGGGAUAACUUCGGGAAACCGGAGCUAAUACCGGAUAACAUCUUGAACCGCAUGGUUCAAUAGUGAAAGACGGUCUUGCUGUCACUUAUAGAUGGAUCCGCGCCGCAUUAGCUAGUUGGUAAGGUAACGGCUUACCAAGGCAACGAUGCGUAGCCGACCUGAGAGGGUGAUCGGCCACACUGGAACUGAGACACGGUCCAGACUCCUACGGGAGGCAGCAGUAGGGAAUCUUCCGCAAUGGGCGAAAGCCUGACGGAGCAACGCCGCGUGAGUGAAGAAGGUCUUCGGAUCGUAAAACUCUGUUAUUAGGGAAGAACAAAUGUGUAAGUAACUAUGCACGUCUUGACGGUACCUAAUCAGAAAGCCACGGCUAACUACGUG
This 497-nucleotide ribosomal RNA is filed under the name uncultured bacterium. RNAcentral describes it as "partial 16S ribosomal RNA". It matches the Rfam family "Bacterial small subunit ribosomal RNA", at positions 28 to 507 of the family's 1533-position model. The record is from RNAcentral.